GAUGAACGCUAGCGACAGGCUUAACACAUGCAAGUCGAGGGGCAGCACAGGUAGCAAUACCGGGUGGCGACCGGCGCACGGGUGAGUAACGCGUAUGCAACUUACCUAUCAGAGGGGGAUAACCCGGCGAAAGUCGGACUAAUACCGCAUGAAGCAGGGGUCCCGCAUGGGGAUAUUUGCUAAAGAUUCAUCGCUGAUAGAUAGGCAUGCGUUCCAUUAGGCAGUUGGCGGGGUAACGGCCCACCAAACCGACGAUGGAUAGGGGUUCUGAGAGGAAGGUCCCCCACAUUGGUACUGAGACACGGACCAAGCUCCUACGGGAGGCAGCAGUGAGGAAUAUUGGUCAAUGGCCGAGAGGCUGAACCAGCCAAGUCGCGUGAGGGAUGAAGGUUCUAUGGAUCGUAAACCUCUUUUAUAAGGGAAUAAAGUGCGGGACGUGUCCCGUUUUGUAUGUACCUUAUGAAUAAGGAUCGGCUAACUCCGUG
RNAcentral lists this ribosomal RNA (485 nucleotides) under uncultured bacterium. Its description in RNAcentral is "partial 16S ribosomal RNA". It matches the Rfam family "Bacterial small subunit ribosomal RNA", at positions 28 to 507 of the family's 1533-position model. The record is from RNAcentral.